AGUGACAGUCACCACCUCCCUCACUCUGUCACUAGUCACCCCCUCACUCUAGUGACAAUGAGGGAGGGGGUGACUAGUGACAGAGUGAGGGAGGGAAGUGGUGACUAGUGACAGAGUUAGGGAGGGAAGGGGUGACUAGUGAGGAAGGGGUGACUAGUGACAGAGUGAGGGAGGGAAGGGGGUGACUAGUGACAGUCACCACCUCCUUCACUCUGUCACUAGUCACCCCCUCCCUCACUCUGUCACUGUGUCACCCCCUUCCUCACUCUGUCACUAGUCACCCUCUCUCUCACUCUGUCACUAGUCACCCUCUCUCUCACUCUGUCACUAGUCACCCCGUCCCUCACUCUGUCACUAGAGUGAGGGGGUGACUAGUGACAG
This is a non-coding RNA of Pelobates cultripes (western spadefoot toad), 381 nucleotides long. The record is from the annotation of a GenBank genome assembly. NCBI's taxonomy places the organism in Eukaryota, Metazoa, Chordata, Amphibia, Anura, Pelobatidae.